This 81-nucleotide transfer RNA is filed under the name Streptomyces cirratus. RNAcentral describes it as "tRNA-Leu". The record is from RNAcentral. Lineage: Bacteria; Bacillati; Actinomycetota; Actinomycetes; Kitasatosporales; Streptomycetaceae.
CGGGGUCGUAGCGCAGGCCUUGGCGGACCGGGUUGAGGACGCGGCCCGGCCGGGUGUCGGUGCCGGUGCCGGCGACCCACU